RNAcentral lists this ribosomal RNA (253 nucleotides) under uncultured bacterium. Its description in RNAcentral is "partial 16S ribosomal RNA". It matches the Rfam family "Bacterial small subunit ribosomal RNA", at positions 524 to 776 of the family's 1533-position model. The record is from RNAcentral.
GACGAAGGGGGCUAGCGUUGUUCGGAAUUACUGGGCGUAAAGCGCGUGUAGGCGGUUGCCAUAGUCAGGUGUGAAAGCCUUGAGCUCAACUCAAGAAAUGCACUUGAUACUGGGCGACUAGAGGACCGGAGAGGAUAGUGGAAUUCCCAGUGUAGUGGUGAAAUACGUAGAGAUUGGGAAGAACACCAGUGGCGAAGGCGGCUAUCUGGACGGUUUCUGACGCUGAGACGCGAAAGCGUGGGGAGCAAACAGG